This 204-nucleotide long non-coding RNA is filed under the name Manihot esculenta (cassava). RNAcentral describes it as "long non-coding RNA (MESC_LNC009268)". Lineage: Eukaryota; Viridiplantae; Streptophyta; Magnoliopsida; Malpighiales; Euphorbiaceae. The record is from RNAcentral.
AUAAGAAAGGUGUUUAAGAUGUUUUUAAAGUGUUUUUAUCAUGUUUGCAUGUUUUUGAGUUAAGAAAAGUGAGUUUUGAAAUGAAAAGGCCAAGGGGACAAAAGCCAGGUUCGGCCGCCGAAGGUGAAGUUCGGCCGCCGAAAGUUGCAUGGUUUCGCAUGCACGUUAGGCCGCCGAAGGAGAGGCGGUUGGCCACUACAAAAG